AUGGCCGGCGGCGUUUUCCUCCUCAACGGCGCCGACGCGCCGGACUACGGCGGCGCGCUGACCGUCCCCGUCGUGGUGACCUGUCUCAUGGCGGCCUCCGGCGGCCUUAUCUUCGGCUACGACAUUGGCAUCUCAGGGGGCGUCUCGGAGAUGGAGUCUUUCCUGAAGAAGUUCUUCCCGGGCUUACUCAAGACGACGAGGCACGCGAGCAAGGACGUCUACUGCAUGUACAACGACCAGGCGCUCACGGCCUUCACCUCCUCGCUCUACGCCUUCGGCAUGGUGGGCACGCUGGUGGCGAGCCGGGUCACCCGGCGGGUCGGCCGCAAGGCCAUCAUGGUCAUCGGGGGGAGCAUGUUCCUCGUCGGCUCGCUCGUCAACGCCGCCGCGGCCAACCUCGCCAUGCUCAUCGUCGGGCGGAUGCUGCUCGGCCUGGGCCUCGGGUUCUCCGGCCAGGCCACGCCGGUCUACCUUGCCGAGAUGUCGCCACCGCGGUGGCGCGGCGGGUUCAUCUCCGCGUUCCCUCUGUUCAUCAGCGUGGGGUACCUCGUCGCCAACCUGAUCAACUACGGCACGUCGCGGAUUCCCGAAUGGGGCUGGCGCCUGUCCCUCGGCCUCGCGGCCGUCCCCGCCGCCGUCAUGGUGCUGGGCGCCGUGCUCAUCACGGACACACCGAGCAGCCUCGUCCUGCGCGGGAAGCACGACCAUGCCCGCGCCGCGCUCCAGCGCGUCCGCGGCAAGGGCGUGGACGUUGACGCGGAGUUCGGCGACAUACUGGCCGCCGUGGAGCACGACCGGCGGAACCAGGAGGGCGCGUUCCGGCGGAUCCUGCGGCGGGAGUACCGGCCGUACCUGGUGAUGGCCGUGGCGUUCCCCGUGUUCCUGAACCUCACCGGCGUGACCGUGUCGGCCUUCUUCUCGCCGAUACUCUUCCGGACCAUAGGGUUCGGUAGCGACGCGGCGCUGAUGGGCGCCAUCAUCCUCGGCCUGAUGAACAUCGGCGGCAUCAUCGCCUCGGGCGUCGCCAUGGACCGCUACGGCCGGAAGCUGCUCUUCGCGAUCGGCGGCGCGCUCAUGUUCACCUGCCAGGUGGCAAUGGCAAGCAUCGCGGGGACGCACCUGGGGCACGGCAGCAAGAUGCCCAAGGGGUACGCGGUGGCGGUGCUGGUGCUGACGUGCGUCUUCUCGGCCAGCUUCAGCUGGUCGUGGGGUGCGCUGUACUGGACCAUCCCCGGCGAGAUAUACCCGGUGGAGGUGCGGUCGGCGGGGCAGGGCACGGCGGUGGCGCUCAACCUGGGCCUCAACUUCGUGCAGGCGCAGUGCUUCCUGGCGAUGCUGUGCAGCCUCAAGUACGGCGUCUUCGUCUUCUACGCGUGCUGGCUCGUCGUCAUGACCGCCUUCGCCAUGGCGUUGGUGCCGGAGACCAAGGGCGUGCCGCUUGACUCCAUGGGCCACGUCUUCGCGCGCCACUGGUACUGGGGCAGGUUCGUCAAGGACCACAAGUUCGGAAAUGAGUCCACCUGA
This 1524-nucleotide ribosomal RNA is filed under the name Triticum aestivum (bread wheat). Its description in RNAcentral is "partial small subunit ribosomal RNA". Lineage: Eukaryota; Viridiplantae; Streptophyta; Magnoliopsida; Poales; Poaceae. The record is from RNAcentral.